RNAcentral lists this unclassified non-coding RNA (179 nucleotides) under Trichothecium sympodiale. Its description in RNAcentral is "ITS2". Lineage: Eukaryota; Fungi; Ascomycota; Sordariomycetes; Hypocreales. The record is from RNAcentral.
CAACCCUCGGGCCCCCGCUUCUCGCGGGCGGCCGCGUUGGGGCUCAGGCGCCGUCUCUGCUCGGCGCCUGUUCCCUAAAUGCAGUGGCGGCCUCGCGUUGCCUCCUCCGCGUAGUAGCACAAACCUCGCGGCUGGAAGGCGGCGCGGCCACGCGUAAAACCCCCCAACUAUUACCAAGG